ACUAGUGAUUUCCGUAGGUGAACCUGCGGAAGGAUCAUUAUGAUAAUUGAUUUAACUCAACAAAGCCUUUAGUUGUGGUAGUAGUUCGCUGCUACUUCAACAACAUACAAAACUAAUAAGCAAAAGAAACUUAAUCUAGAACCAAACACACAAACCAAAUUCUCACCGGUGGAUGUCUUGGUUCCCACAACGAUGAAGAACGCAGCGAAGUGCGAUAAGCAGUGCGAAUUGCAGAACCGUGAGUCAUCAGAUUUUUGAACGCAACUGGCGCCGUACGGGGCAACCCGUCGGCACGCCUGGUCCAGUGUCUUGUUCUCUCAUCACCAAAAUCCUAAUGCAAGAGAUACCCUUCUCUUGUUAAGCAUGAAAGCACUCUGCGACUGCGAGCAGCCUUCGGGUUGCACUCAAUGCAGCAGUCACAUUUUCAAAUGUGAACUCAUUGAGAGUGGAAGCAGUGCAGCGUAAGCUGCCAGUGUUUAGGCAAUCCAACUUGGAUACGGUAUCUGGGCUCAGGUGGGACCACCCGCUGAACUUAAGCAUAUCAAUAAGCGGAGGAAAU
This 559-nucleotide ribosomal RNA is filed under the name uncultured eukaryote. Its description in RNAcentral is "eukaryotic LSU rRNA". The stretch from base 158 to 310 matches the Rfam family "5.8S ribosomal RNA". The record is from RNAcentral.